GCGCUUCCGGCGGCUCCCUUGCGUGGGGCGGCGGCGCGGCGGCUCCUCCGCGCCUCGGCCGGGGCCAUGGGGACGGCGGGCGGCGGUGGCGGCAGUACCUUGCGGCUGCCCGGGCUGCACGGCUACGCGGCGGAGUUCUCGCCCUACUGGCCGGGGCGCGUGGCCUGCGCCGCCGCGCAGUACUACGGCAUCGCAGGUUGUGGAACUCUGGCAGUGCUGGAACAAAAUGAAGCUGGGAUUGUUCUGCUCAGGAGUUUUGACUGGAAUGAUGGCCUGUUUGAUGUGACCUGGAGUGAGAAUAAUGAACAUGUGUUGAUCACUUCUAGUGGAGAUGGAUCUCUGCAAAUCUGGGACACAGCUAAAACCAGAGGUCCGCUGCAAGUCUAUAAAGAGCACGCUCAGGAGGCAUAUAGUGUUGACUGGAGCCAAACUAGAGGAGAGCAGCUAGUGGUGUCUGGUUCAUGGGAUCAAACAGCCAAGCUGUGGGAUCCAGCUGUGGGGAAGUCAUUAUGCACUUUUAAAGGCCACGAAGGGGUCAUUUACAGCACUAUAUGGUCUCCACACAUCCCAGGUUGUUUUGCAUCUGCCUCAGGUGACCAGACUUUAAGAGUUUGGGAUGUGAAAGCCCCAGGAGUCAAACUUGUGAUACCAGCCCACCAGGCUGAGAUCUUGAGCUGUGACUGGUGCAAAUAUGAUGAGAACUUGCUGGUAACUGGAGCAGUUGACUGUAGCUUGAAAGGCUGGGAUUUGCGGAACAUCCGGCAACCAGUGUUCGUCUUGCUUGGUCAUACCUAUGCUAUCAGAAGAGUAAAAUUUUCACCAUUCCAUGCAACCUUAUUGGCCUCUUGCUCCUAUGAUUUUACUGUGAGAUUCUGGGACUUCUCCAAGCCUAACCCUUUGCUGGAAACAGUCGAGCAUCAUACUGAAUUUACUUGUGGACUGGAUUUAAGUCUUCACAACCGUGGUCAGGAAUGACAAGACAUUCCUGAGGAUCUGAUUGAGCUUUGAAGAGAAUCCACAGGCAGAGAGUAGGCAAUCCAUCAAUGACACAGCUAAAAAGUACAGAUACUGUGAACGUUCACGACUUCUUGCCUUGAUUCUGCAAUUAUUUCAAUAAGUAUAUAAAGAAUAGAAAAUACAUAUGUACCAUGAGUGUCUUUAAAUUGUGGACAAAAAUUACCCAGCCCUUUUCUGAUGUAGUUAUAAAGCUGUAUUUUGCUUAACACAGAGGUAAGAAGAACUGAAGCUCUUAAUUUUGUCUGGAAACCAUUCUCAACCUACACCUCACAUCUGUUCUGACCUCUGUAAGGCAGCCAGUGGAAAGUAUACAUUAAUGCUUUCUACUGAGCCAGGCUUUCUGUCUUGCUGCUGAGAACAGGAUUAAGCAUCUAACAGGGAACAGGAGAGGAAUCUUUCAAUUUCUCUGUACUUCUACACUAUGAACAAUGAAAUUCCUAAAUUGCAAGGAUACGUGAUUUUCAACGGAAGUGAUGGCAAGUGGUGUCCGUGACUUAGAACACUUGUCUGCUGUGCUCUUCACGUAUCAUCUGUGACAUGCCAAAUCAGAACAAGACUUCAACGAUAUACAAUACUGAGGUGCUUCCUUUGGAAAUUAUAAUUGUUCUGCAACAAAUGAGGAUAAAUCAAAUGUCAAUUCUCUAGUCCAAAAUCAUCUGUUAUCUGAAUGCAUGUCAAAUUCUAGGUUUUAGAAUAACUUAUGUACAAGACAAAUAGUGAUCAUUUAUUAUUUUCUUUUACUGUGGUUGUGUGUGUUUGGAUGGUAAUUAUACUACAAAUGGGCAGCUAGCUGUCUAAACAGCUGUUUGCAUCAACAUAGUUUGGGAGGCAAACUUGUUUUCUCUAGCCCUCUGUGUGGCUGCACCUCCUUGUGUAAAUAUUCUCCCACAGUCGAUUAGUUCACAUAAAACUGGUUUCUCUUAUUUCUCCAAAGCACCUGGAGCUCAGGGAUGUAUUGAUGCAAGAAGAGGCCUGGCCACAAUCCUUCUGUAUUGCAUUUGGAGAUGGUGAGGGGUGAUACAGCGAUACACACACAUGAUACCUAUUAAUAUGGAGACAGUGAUAAUACCAGUGCAGUGCCCGUUAAACUAGUGUUGUGCUCUGUGUUACACUGUCCUUGUGAUCCAGCUCCCCUGAACCUCCACUUUCUUCUCCCUAAUGCUGUGGGUUAUCACCAGCGUGUCGUGCCAUAUCACAUUCUGCUCCUUCCUUCCAACUGGCCAGAGGCAGUUAGAUCUGAACAGGCGUGCCUGCUUUGUAGCAUCGAUCUGGUGAUCCCAUGAAACGUUGCUGUACUGAUGGUAUCAUGUCUCCUCUUAUGGCAUGAGCAUCACUAAAAUUUUAAAAGCUGUAAUAUCUUACCAGUUGGAGGGAGGUCAUAGCCAAAAUGUAUGCACUUGAGCGGCAUCCCCUGAAGAUAAUUGAAAUCUAGUUCUAAAUUCUUCCAGCUUUAUAGAUAAAUUCUUGAUCAUCUGUCAAGUUUCGGUGUACAGGUUUGUUCUGCUACCUGUUCUCUAUGUGCAGCUUAUGCAAUGUGCUGCGUUAGCUAUGCCAACACAGCAGGCAGGAGAACAGGCAGGAGCAGGGCUGCUGAAGUUGGCCUAACCAGUAUAGCCAAAGAUAAAUGCAGAUGAUGUCCUUAGUGAGGCUAUUUUGCUAUGUAUUUUGUUGUUCAUUUAAAUUAAUUGUACACCUUCAACAGGCCCAGAAAUGUUGACUGUUUCGUAUAAAAGUAGAGUUACAUCUUGUGGAAGUGUACAGAAAAAACAGAGACUCUCUUUCUGCCUUUUUUCUUUUGAUCAUUAGCUCUUACCUUUUACACUUAAUUGCCAAGGAACUGAUAGCUUCCACCCAGCUGUUGUGGCUAUCACACUGCUAUAGUUAUAUCACUACAUGUACUUCAUUUUAAUCUCUCCUUAUGGUCCUUCUCCAGGAUGCUACUAAAGUUAUGCAGUUAGUGAUCCUUUGAGAUUAAAAGAUCCUACAGCAUCUGUUCUUUUACUUAAUUUCAGAGUGGAUUUUUGCAUGGAAAGGUUUAACAUUCGCAGCUGGUUACAUUUGAUCAAUUUGAACUCCUUUUACAGAGUUUGGAGUGGGGAAAGGGAGGUGACAUUUCCUACUAGUGUUUAUUUUAUGUCUUUCCCAAACCAUUAAAAUUAAACUUUCACUGCCUAAGUCACAUUCAUGAGUAAUGGUCACUCUUUGCCAUUAUCAGCAGAAGUCUCAUCCUAAGGUGUCUGAAAGGUUGCUGUCAGGCAUCACAGUUCUGUAAAAGCUGCAAGUGUACAGAGAGGAAAAUGCACUUUAAUUUUGAUUCUGAAGUACUGGGAAGAGGUGGGAGGCAGCAGUUUCUCAGUAAAUGUGUUGUAUGUGCAUUGUAUUUGAUUCAGCGGCUUACAAAAACUUGCUACUUCUGUGAUCCUCAUCUUUUAGUCAAUAUAGUGGAUUUUUUCUUUUCUGCAUGAUCAAUAGAUCUGUUUGAGAAGUCCCUGUGAAUUGCGCUAGUGAAACUCAAUGGAAGGCAACAGGAUUUUGCAGCUGUUACCAAAACAUUGUUUGGCUUAUGCUUAUCUGUGAUUAUAUCCCACAAGGAAACAACUUACCUUAACUCUGACCUGAAGGAUGAGUCUGAAGAUUGGAUAGGGUCGUUAGAAAACAUAGUUUCACUGCAUGUAAAUUCACUGCAUUUGGGGUCGCCAAGGUUAGUGUCAGCACAGAAAAGGCAUUUUGCAGUUCCAAUGUAUCUUCUACAGAACUUAAAAUUUACUUCAUUGAUUAAAAACAGUGCUUGAAAGAGUGGGAAGAUCUGUUUCCCGUUAUGUGUAGAGUACAGAAGAACUGCUACAAAUUCUGUGCAGAUUCUGAUUUUAUUUCUCUCUAACCUGCAACUCCCAUCUAGUUUUCCUUUAUGUCUUACUGAUGAAACGCACACUCAGAGGACUUGCAUUUAGAAAUGUGUAGUACAACUACCAAGUCAUUUUCCUGUUGCCUGUGUCAGGGCAACAAAUAAACGUUGAGGCAGCUCCCUGUUUUUUAGAUCAGUUCUUUGUGACAUAUCUUUGCAAUCUGAAAAAUAAUGCCUCUCAUGUCUUUUAUCUUUUCUCUCCUUAAGAAAGAAAUGGAUUUCUUAAGCAGUAUUUGGAACAUCUGUUUCUGAUAACUGUAGUUUGAACCUAGAUCUUUAUAAGAACUUCUGGUCCAGGGCUUGUUUUAUUCUCUCUUUACUGGAAAUAAUAACUAAAUCAAUGUGUGGGGGUUUUUUUCAAAAGGAAAUUGAAAAAUUAUUGGUAUUACUGCACAUUGAAAAUGUUUUAAAUUACAACCUUCCAUCACUUUCACUCUCAUGUAAAGGUAGGCGUCGUGUGCAGUUCACUCUGACAACGGUUGACCAAACAAAAGGCCACACUAGUGGUUCGGAUUUUCUAGUACAGAAUAGGUAUUGAAUGCAUUUAAACUCAUGCAUGAUCCAUUAUGCACUUAACCAACCAGUUUUUAUGAUCACCUGUGAUCAUUAAUUUGGUGAGUAGCAAACCUGAUAGCUUGCCUUAUCUCCACUAAAUCUCCAUCCCACAUGCUUACAGAGGAUGCUCAGGACCCCUCAAAAAUACAUAAUGAUGAUAUAAAUAGACCAUUAAAUUCUGUAUGAAAAGACACAGAAGAUAGGAAACUAAAAGGGGAAGGGAGACACAACAUUAAUGGAAGUGAAAAACUGAGUACUUUUUCCACUGUCUC
This is a non-coding RNA of Phalacrocorax carbo (great cormorant), 4749 nucleotides long. The record is from RefSeq and is a predicted model, not a curated record. NCBI's taxonomy places the organism in Eukaryota, Metazoa, Chordata, Aves, Suliformes, Phalacrocoracidae.